CAGUCGCCACGGUAAUACGUAGGGUGCAAGCGUUAAUCGGAAUUACUGGGCGCAAAGCGUGCGCAGGCGGUUCGUUAAGACAGAUGUGAAAUCCCCGGGCUUAACCUGGGAACUGCAUUUGUGACUGGCGGGCUGGAGUAUGGCAGAGGGGGGUAGAAUUCCACGUGUAGCAGUGAAAUGCGUAGAGAUGUGGAGGAAUACCGAUGGCGAAGGCAGCCCCCUGGGCCAAUACUGACGCCCAUGCACGAAAGCGUGGGGAGCAAACAGGAUUAGAUACCCCCGUAGUCCCUGUCUCUUAUAC
RNAcentral lists this ribosomal RNA (301 nucleotides) under uncultured bacterium. RNAcentral describes it as "partial 16S ribosomal RNA". It matches the Rfam family "Bacterial small subunit ribosomal RNA", at positions 509 to 807 of the family's 1533-position model. The record is from RNAcentral.